AACAAGUCGCCCGCAAGUGUGCAUAAAUAUGUAAAAAUUAAAUAAUGUGUAAACAGCCGCAAACACAGGCCUCUCUAUAUAGAGAACUUCUGGGUGGAAUCGUACAGAGCUAGGGCUGGAGCUAGCCCAAAGAUCAGAGGAGUAAGGCGGGCUGGGGACCGGCGAUCAGCUUGAUUGGGUGUGUGCCUGUUCUUCAAUUGUUGUCAAUAGCCGGACGACUAUUUAUAAAGCCCUCAACGGCUGCACCAAGGCGGUAUCUGUCCGAAGAUCUGGCUGAACGACUAAAGACCUAAUCAGCCCGGAGGCACGUCGCAUUGCAAAUAAGUAUCGCUCCAUUGGAGAGCAAUCGAGUGGAGUCAACUACAGUGGAUCGCAAAUGAAAAUCUAAAAAGAUUUGACAUGGUUCCUACUGUUUUCGGUACUUUGGAGAUACAAUGGUUGUAUUUUUUGAAGAGAUAUCAUAUCCUAAAAUUCGAUCGUUGCUUAGUAUCUAAGAAUAAAAAUAAUGAAUUGACCAUAUGGCUUACUUUUUCAUAGGUUUAAAGAAGUCCAAAAGAGGCCUACUCAUAAAUACUGUUAUAAUUUAUUAUAAACUUUCAUAGCAAGGAACCCAAUACAUUUCAAACUUCCCAUAUUCACUGUACCAGAAAAAGGAGUGUCUUCCUAACAAAGAAACAAGUCGUUGCCCUGUAAAAUCCACUUCAGAAACUGAUGAUUCUACCAUCAGUUUAUCAAAAAAUGUCCAAUCAAACAUGCGUCCAUACGACCUCGAGCGAUGCUCCCCCUUUCGACCGCCCACACUUGUCUGAUUUCUCGCACGCUUUCCGUUCUGUUCUAAAUAUAAAAUUUGGCCUAUUUGUUGGUCAGCUUUAAUUGUUAUCAAUUGCGUAAAUAAACGCUCAGACAAUAAAAAAAGAGACCGUUUUAGCAUUUCUCUCGUUUAUCGAAUGGUCUCUCACGUUCUCCCUCACAAAUAUUCUGCGCAUUUAAUUAUGAUUUUUUGCCAAAUCAUUUCUUUUUGAUGGACGAGAGACGUGUGUGCUGAAGACGCAGGUGCAAGUCGAUAAGGUGAUGACGACAAUGGGAAUUAUAUGAAAUUCCUCUACCCCAUUUCAUCAGCGGCUAGACAAAUGUUAGCGACACAAAUCAACUUAUGUAAAAUAACCUGAUCCGAAUGAAAUAAACUAGGGAAAUACA
Drosophila suzukii is the source of this 1197-nucleotide long non-coding RNA. RefSeq lists it as uncharacterized. The record is from RefSeq and is a predicted model, not a curated record. Lineage: Eukaryota; Metazoa; Arthropoda; Insecta; Diptera; Drosophilidae.